This 162-nucleotide transfer-messenger RNA is filed under the name Rhodobacteraceae bacterium UBA1957. RNAcentral describes it as "transfer-messenger RNA, SsrA". It matches the Rfam family "Alphaproteobacteria transfer-messenger RNA", at positions 28 to 192 of the family's 355-position model. From Rfam's summary of the family: Bacterial tmRNA, also known as 10Sa RNA or SsrA, is named for its dual tRNA and mRNA-like properties. Its role is to liberate the mRNA from a stalled ribosome. Lineage: Bacteria; Pseudomonadati; Pseudomonadota; Alphaproteobacteria; Rhodobacterales; Paracoccaceae. The record is from RNAcentral.
AAAGUACAAGAGAAAUGUCUUUCGGGACUAUGGACAUAAACGCGCUCGUAAUACGCGGAUCGGACCCGGGGGCGGUACCCGGCGACUCCACCAAACACCGUUCAUUUGACGGAUUCGGGGUCGAAAUAGGAUCGACGAACGUCUAAAGGGGUUAGCUUUGUU